Molecule: long non-coding RNA, 480 nt
Filed under: Homo sapiens (human)
Lineage: Eukaryota; Metazoa; Chordata; Mammalia; Primates; Hominidae
Description: HSALNT0302438
Source: RNAcentral
AUCUCAUUUAAUUUUUAUAUUUACUGUAAUAUGUAUUAUCUGCCCAUUUUGUAGAUGAGAAUUAGCUGAGUUAUCAUUGAUGCUUAGAUUAGCAAAGUGGUCUACCUGUGAUCACAGACGUAAAAAAUUACAACAUCAAAAAAAAAAAAAAAAAACAGUCUAACUGGUAAAAAAAAAAAAAAAAAAAAAAAAAAAAAAAAAAAAAAAAAAAAAAAAAAAAAAAAAAAAAAAUUCUCAGAAAAAUAUUAUCAUUGAAAGGCAUUUAAUUUUUAAUAAAUAAAUAUAAUAAGAACAGGUCUUUAGUUAAAAAUUAAAAGGAUAAUGUUGCUUGAUAGAUGGGAGUCCAGGAAAGAAUUGUGGUUAGGAGACAUGAGUAAAAUGCACAAAUGUCAGGUAGACGAGUACAAUUAACACUUGCCAAACAGAGCUUGUGGCAUAAUGCACCCCAAGAAAGAAUAGUCUGAACAAACUGUACUUGGU